GUGGCGGACGGGUGAGUAAUGCUUGGGAAUCUUGCUCAUGGGGGGGGAUAACUACGGGAAACUGUAGCUAAUACCGCGUAGUAUCGGAAGAUGAAAGUGUGGGACCGCAAGGCCACAUGCCAUGAGAUGAGCCCAAGUGGGAUUAGGUAGUUGGUUAGGUAAAGGCUGACCAAGCCGACGAUCUCUAGCUGGUCUGAGAGGAUGACCAGCCACACUGGAACUGAGACACGGUCCAGACUCCUACGGGAGGCAGCAGUGGGGAAUAUUGCACAAUGGGGGAAACCCUGAUGCAGCCAUGCCGCGUGAAUGAAGAAGGCCUUCGGGUUGUAAAGUUCUUUCGGUGAUGAGGAAGGUGUUUGUUUUAAUAGGACAAGCAAUUGACGUUAGUCACAGAAGAAGCACCGGCUAACUCCGUGCCAGCAGCCGCGGUAAUACGGAGGGUGCGAGCGUUAAUCGGAAUAACUGGGCGUAAAGGGCACGCAGGCGGUGACUUAAGUGAGAUGUGAAAGCCCCGAGCUUAACUUGGGAAUUGCAUUUCAUACUGGGUCGCUAGAGUACUUUAGGGAGGGGUAGAAUUCCACGUGUAGCGGUGAAAUGCGUAGAGAUGUGGAGGAAUACCGAAGGCGAAGGCAGCCCCUUGGGAAUGUACUGACGCUCAUGUGCGA
RNAcentral lists this ribosomal RNA (665 nucleotides) under uncultured Actinobacillus sp. RNAcentral describes it as "bacterial SSU rRNA". It matches the Rfam family "Bacterial small subunit ribosomal RNA", at positions 95 to 756 of the family's 1533-position model. Lineage: Bacteria; Pseudomonadati; Pseudomonadota; Gammaproteobacteria; Pasteurellales; Pasteurellaceae. The record is from RNAcentral.